Non-coding RNA from Nomascus leucogenys (northern white-cheeked gibbon), 302 nucleotides. It matches the Rfam family "Metazoan signal recognition particle RNA". Rfam says of the family: The signal recognition particle (SRP) is a universally conserved ribonucleoprotein. It is involved in the co-translational targeting of proteins to membranes. The eukaryotic SRP consists of a 300-nucleotide 7S RNA and six proteins: SRPs 72, 68, 54, 19, 14, and 9. NCBI's taxonomy places the organism in Eukaryota, Metazoa, Chordata, Mammalia, Primates, Hylobatidae. The record is from Rfam.
GCUGGGCACAGUGGUGUGAGCCAGAAGUCCCAGCUACUCGGGAGGCUGAGGCAGGAGGAUCACUUGAGUCCAAGAGUUCUGGGUUGUAGUGUGCUGUGUCAAUCGGGUAUCUACACUAAGCUCAGUGUCAACAUGGUGAUCUCCCUGGGAGAGGGGAACCACCAGGUUGCCUAAGGAGGGCUGAAAUGGCCCAGAUCAGAAACAGAGCAGGUCAAAACUCCCGUGCUGAUCCGGUAGUGGGGUCACUCCUGUAAAUAGCCACAGCGCUCCAGCCUGGGCAACAUAGCGAGACCCUGUCUCUA